GAAAGGCGGUUGGACUAAUAACA
This 23-nucleotide non-coding RNA is filed under the name Arabidopsis thaliana (thale cress). Lineage: Eukaryota; Viridiplantae; Streptophyta; Magnoliopsida; Brassicales; Brassicaceae. The record is from RNAcentral.